CGACUCUCGGCAACGGAUAUCUCGGCUCUCGCAUCGAUGAAGAACGUAGCGAAAUGCGAUACCUGGUGUGAAUUGCAGAAUCCCGCGAACCAUCGAGUCUUUGAACGCAAGUUGCGCCCGAGGCCUUUGGGCCGAGGGCACGCCUGCCUGGGCGUCACGCCAAA
Molecule: ribosomal RNA, 164 nt
Filed under: Fargesia yunnanensis
Lineage: Eukaryota; Viridiplantae; Streptophyta; Magnoliopsida; Poales; Poaceae
Also listed under: 1 other name
Description: 5.8S ribosomal RNA
Rfam family: 5.8S ribosomal RNA
About the family: 5.8S ribosomal RNA (5.8S rRNA) is a component of the large subunit of the eukaryotic ribosome.
Source: RNAcentral